RNAcentral lists this ribosomal RNA (488 nucleotides) under uncultured organism. Its description in RNAcentral is "bacterial SSU rRNA". It matches the Rfam family "Bacterial small subunit ribosomal RNA", at positions 28 to 507 of the family's 1533-position model. The record is from RNAcentral.
GACGAACGCUGGCGGAAUGGAUUAGGCAUGCAAGUCGAACGAUAGUUUUCCUUUCGGGGAGAAUGACAGUGGCGAACGGGUGAGUAACGCGUGGGGAUCUGCCUUUAAGUGGGGGACAACUCAGGGAAACUUGAGCUAAUACCGCAUGUGGCAGUAAUGCUAAAGAUGGCCUCUAUUUAUAAGCUAUCGCUUAAAGAUGAACCUGCGUACUAUUAGCUAGUUGGUGGGGUAAAAGCCUACCAAGGCGAUGAUAGUUAGGCGGCCUUAACGGGUGGCCGCCCACACUGGGAUUGAGAUACGGCCCAGACUCCUACGGGAGGCAGCAGUCGAGAAUAGUCUACAAUGGACGAAAGUCUGAUAGUGCAAUUCCGCGUGGAUGAAGAAGCAUUUCGGUGUGUAAAAUCCUUUUCUCUAUGAGCAAAGUCUUGAAGGUGAAUAAUUUUUAGGAUAAGAUAUUAGUAGAGGAAUAAGCCUCGGCUAACUCCGUG